GUGUAGUUUAGUGGGAAGAGUAUUGGACUAGGGCUUGGGAGACCAGGGUUCAAAUCCCUACUCAGCCA
Podarcis lilfordi (Lilford's wall lizard) is the source of this 68-nucleotide non-coding RNA. NCBI's taxonomy places the organism in Eukaryota, Metazoa, Chordata, Lepidosauria, Squamata, Lacertidae. The record is from the annotation of a GenBank genome assembly.